RNAcentral lists this ribosomal RNA (468 nucleotides) under uncultured bacterium. RNAcentral describes it as "partial 16S ribosomal RNA". It matches the Rfam family "Bacterial small subunit ribosomal RNA", at positions 28 to 507 of the family's 1533-position model. The record is from RNAcentral.
GACGAACGCUGGCGGCGUGCUUAACACAUGCAAGUCGAACGGAAAGGCCCUGCUUUUGUGGGGUGCUCGAGUGGCGAACGGGUGAGUAACACGUGAGUAACCUGCCCUUUACUUUGGGAUAACUUCAGGAAACUGGGGCUAAUACCGGAUAGGAGCUCCUGCUGCAUGGUGGGGGUUGGAAAGUUUCGGCGGUUGGGGAUGGACUCGCGGCUUAUCAGCUUGUUGGUGGGGUAGUGGCUUACCAAGGCUUUGACGGGUAGCCGGCCUGAGAGGGUGACCGGCAACAUUGGGACUGAGAGACGGCCCAGACUCCUACGGGAGGCAGCAGUGGGGAAUAUUGCACAAUGGGCGGAAGCCUGAUGCAGCAACGCCGCGUGCGGGAUGACGGCCUUCGGGUUGUAAACCGCUUUCGCCUGUGACGAAGCGUGAGUGACGGUAAUGGGUAAAGAAGCACCGGCUAACUACGUG